GACGAACGCUGGCGGCGUGCUUAACACAUGCAAGUCGAACGGAAAGGCCCUGCUUUUGUGGGGUGCUCGAGUGGCGAACGGGUGAGUAACACGUGAGUAACCUGCCCUUGACUUUGGGAUAACUUCAGGAAACUGGGGCUAAUACCGGAUAGGAGCUCCUGCUGCAUGGUGGGGGUUGGAAAGUUUCGGCGGUUGGGGAUGGACUCGCGGCUUAUCAGCUUGUUGGUGGGGUAGUGGCUUACCAAGGCGUUGACGGGUAGCCGGCCUGAGAGGGUGACCGGCCACAUUGGGACUGAGAUACGGCCCGGACUCCUACGGGAGGCAGAAGUGGGGAAUAUUGCACAAUGGGCGGAAGCCUGAUGCAGCAACGCCGCGUGCGGGAUGACGGCCUUCGGGUUGUAAACCGCUUUCGCCUGUGACGAAGCGUGAGUGACGGUAAUGGGUAAAGAAGCACCGGCUAACUACGUG
This 468-nucleotide ribosomal RNA is filed under the name uncultured bacterium. RNAcentral's name for it is "partial 16S ribosomal RNA". It matches the Rfam family "Bacterial small subunit ribosomal RNA", at positions 28 to 507 of the family's 1533-position model. The record is from RNAcentral.